RNAcentral lists this ribosomal RNA (420 nucleotides) under uncultured Microcoleus sp. RNAcentral's name for it is "bacterial SSU rRNA". It matches the Rfam family "Bacterial small subunit ribosomal RNA", at positions 357 to 791 of the family's 1533-position model. Lineage: Bacteria; Bacillati; Cyanobacteriota; Cyanophyceae; Oscillatoriales; Microcoleaceae. The record is from RNAcentral.
GGGGAAUUUUCGCAAUGGGCGAAAGCCUGACGGAGCAAGACCGCGUGAGGGAAGAAGGCUCUUGGGUUGUAAACCUCUUUUCUCAGGGAAGAAGACAGUGACGGUACCUGAGGAAUCAGCCUCGGCUAACUCCGUGCCAGCAGCCGCGGUAAUACGGAGGAGGCAAGCGUUAUCCGGAAUUAUUGGGCGUAAAGCGUCCGUAGGUGGUUUUGUCAGUCGGCUGUCAAAGCACAGGGCUUAACCCUGUAAAGGCAGUGGAAACUACAAAACUGGAGUGCAGUAGGGGCAGAGGGAAUUCCCAGUGUAGCGGUGAAAUGCGUAGAGAUUGGGAAGAACACCCGUGGCGAAAGCGCUCUGCUGGACUGCAACUGACACUCAGGGACGAAAGCUAGGGGAGCAAAUGGGAUUAGAUACCCCAGU